This is a non-coding RNA of Sus scrofa (pig), 550 nucleotides long. The record is from RefSeq and is a predicted model, not a curated record. Lineage: Eukaryota; Metazoa; Chordata; Mammalia; Artiodactyla; Suidae.
GGAGGGAGAGGAGCAGCCAGACCGGCUCAAAGACAGCAUUUCUGGGAGCUCUUACCACACAGGGAACCUAAUACUAUGGUUUCUAGGAAUGCUAAGCUAGGAUCAUCUUAUGAGGAAGCUGGUCUAUCCUCCUGGAGGCUGAACAGUGUUGUGGUGAAUCAGGCAUUCCAGCAGACGGAACCAAUUCCAGACUCUGUACCUUAUUGCCUAUACUUGGGGUGGACUGCUUCCAGACCUUCUACAUCUUAUCUGACUGCAAACCCGUGAAUGAGCCAGGUGAGACCAGUAGAAGAACUGCCAAAUCAACAGAGAACUCUUAGAAAUAAUAAAUGGUUAUUCUGUGCUGCCAAGUUUUGAGGUGAUAGCCAUAUAUAACUGGUGCAGGGAAUAAUCAUUUAGAGCAAUUGGCCUAGAUUUUUCUUCCUCAAGCAAGAAGCAAAUAUAAGAGCUUUAAAUGUAUACUGAUUUUCAUGUUUGAAAUUGAAGAUAAAAUUUGGAGAAUAUAUGUUAUGGCUUAUUUAAAAAGGUGAAGUCAUUUUAAACAUGAUAG